CCUACGGGAGGCAGCAGUGGGGGAUAUUGCACAAUGGGGGGAACCCUGAUGCAGCGACGCCGCGUGGGUGAAGGAGUGCUUCGGCAUGUAAAGCCCUAUCGGCAGGGAAGAAGCAAGACGGUACCUGACUAAGAAGCCCCGGCUAACUACGUGCCAGCAGCCGCGGUAAUACGUAGGGGGCGAGCGUUAUCCGGAUUCACUGGGUGGAAAGGGAGCGUAGACGGCCAAGCAAGCCAGGGGUGAAAGCCCGGGGCCCAACCCCGGGACUGCCCUUGGAACUGCAUGGCUGGUGUGCGGGAGGGGCAGGCGGAAUUCCUGGUGUAGCGGGGAAAUGCGUAGAUAUCAGGAGGAACACCGGCGGCGAAGGCGGCCUGCUGGACCGCGACUGACGUUGAGGCUCGAAAGCGUGGGGAGCGAACAGGAUUAGAUACCCUUGUAGUC
RNAcentral lists this ribosomal RNA (441 nucleotides) under uncultured bacterium. Its description in RNAcentral is "partial 16S ribosomal RNA". It matches the Rfam family "Bacterial small subunit ribosomal RNA", at positions 338 to 795 of the family's 1533-position model. The record is from RNAcentral.